Molecule: unclassified non-coding RNA, 220 nt
Filed under: Hevea brasiliensis (rubber tree)
Lineage: Eukaryota; Viridiplantae; Streptophyta; Magnoliopsida; Malpighiales; Euphorbiaceae
Source: RNAcentral
UGAGUAAAUGAAAUCUCUAAAUUUGGCAGCCAUGAGAAAGUUUAAGGAUUGUUGGUUUUUGAUGAAAUUAAGUGGCUUAAUUAUGUUAUUGAUGAGUAUAGAUGAUGGAUAAAGUGAUUUGGUAUGAGUUUGGUGUGUGUAUGCCAUGAAUUGGAAAUUGGAGUUAGGGUUUGAGCAUGAAAUUGAGACUUUGAUCAUGUAAUGAUGAAAGUGAGUUUUA